RNAcentral lists this transfer RNA (76 nucleotides) under Leptonema sp. (in: bacteria). RNAcentral describes it as "tRNA-Asn". It matches the Rfam family "tRNA". From Rfam's summary of the family: Transfer RNA (tRNA) molecules are approximately 80 nucleotides in length. Lineage: Bacteria; Pseudomonadati; Spirochaetota; Leptospiria; Leptospirales; Leptospiraceae. The record is from RNAcentral.
UCCCCUGUAGCUCAGUCGGUAGAGCAGUUGACUGUUAAUCAAUUGGUCGCAGGUUCGAGCCCUGCCGGGGGAGCCA